UGGCUGAAAUGUGACUCCGGCAUGUGUGAAACAGGACUCUGGUGUGGCUUCCACAUGUCUCAGGCAUGGCUGACACGUGACUCAGGCAUUCAUUGCACAGUAUCCAUGUGUGGCAGACAUGUAGCCAUGUGUGUGUGACAUGCAGUACAGGUGUUUGUCCCGCGUGACUCACAGGUUGCUGAAACCUGGCUCCCACAUACUCAAUCAUGGCUGGCACGUGGCUCACGCAUGGCUCAGCUGUGUUUCAUGUGUGGCUCCCCUGUGCGUCAUGUGUGUUCCAACAUCGAAUGUGUGUGUUUCACACGUGGUUCAGUUGUGGUUCAAGUGUGUCUCACAUGUGGUUCAUGCAUGGCUCAUACAUGGUUCGGGUGUAAUGCCAGCGUUGCUCACACACGACUCGUGUGGGUCCUCGAGACACAGGCAUGCCUGACACGUCACACAGGUGCGAUUCACACAGGGUUCAUGCAUGGCCUCUGUGUGGGUCAGGGGUGGCUGGUGCAUGGUUCACACAUGGGUGGCUCGUGGUUCAGGCGUGGCUGACAUGUGACACAGGCAUGUGUGAAACCUGACUCCGGUGUGCCUGGCGCAUGACUCAGGCAUGGCUGACACAUGACUCAUGCAUUCAUCUCACAGUUUCCGUGUAUGGCAGACAUGUG
RNAcentral lists this long non-coding RNA (656 nucleotides) under Equus caballus (horse). Its description in RNAcentral is "lncRNA (ENSECAG00000058719.1)". The record is from RNAcentral. Lineage: Eukaryota; Metazoa; Chordata; Mammalia; Perissodactyla; Equidae.